Molecule: long non-coding RNA, 172 nt
Organism: Xenia sp. Carnegie-2017
Lineage: Eukaryota; Metazoa; Cnidaria; Anthozoa; Malacalcyonacea; Xeniidae
Exons: 3
Source: RefSeq, a predicted model, not a curated record
GUCUCAAAAAACUCAAAGUAAAUUUCCAGUUCCAAGUCAUGCUCAUGUUUCUCUGUCAUCAAAUUAUUUUGAAAUCACAAAUGGGGAUGAUGCUAAUGCUAAAGAUGUCGGAAAUUCUCCUAGUGUUGAAAAUACAAAACAAGAAAAACAGUUUCCGAAGUGGAAAUGCACU